CCAGGGGACCGGGCAGCCGCGUGCCGCGAGGCACGAGGAAAGUCCGGGCUCCACGAAACGAGGGUGGCGGGUAACGCCCGCCCGGCGAAGCGCCCUUCGGGGCGUAAGCCGAGGGAAAGUGCCACAGAGAGCAUACCGCCGAUGGCCCGCUUGCGGGCUCAGGCAAGGGUGAAAGGGUGCGGUAAGAGCGCACCGGGGCUUCGGCAACGCGGUCCGCAUGGCAAACCCCACCCGGAGCAAGGCCGAAUAGGGGCGGCGCGUCCGUGCAAGCGGGCAGGUGCGUUUCGCAUCGACCGCCCGGGUUGGCUGCUGGAGCCGCGGAGCAAUCCGCGGCCUAGACGAAUGGCUGCCCCCGCGCGGCUGGUGUGCAAGCAUACCGCGUGCGGGACAGAACCCGGCUUACAGGUCCCCUGGCAAU
RNAcentral lists this RNase P RNA (418 nucleotides) under Erythrobacter sp. RNAcentral's name for it is "RNase P RNA component class A". It matches the Rfam family "Bacterial RNase P class A". From Rfam's summary of the family: Ribonuclease P (RNase P) is a ubiquitous endoribonuclease, found in archaea, bacteria and eukarya as well as chloroplasts and mitochondria. Its best characterised activity is the generation of mature 5'-ends of tRNAs by cleaving the 5'-leader elements of precursor-tRNAs. The record is from RNAcentral. Lineage: Bacteria; Pseudomonadati; Pseudomonadota; Alphaproteobacteria; Sphingomonadales; Erythrobacteraceae.